This 9044-nucleotide long non-coding RNA is filed under the name Marmota monax (woodchuck). The record is from RNAcentral. Lineage: Eukaryota; Metazoa; Chordata; Mammalia; Rodentia; Sciuridae.
GGCAGACACCCAUGGCUUUCUCAUUCACCCCAUCUGGGCCUCCAGUGUGGUCUAAUUAUCCUGAAAAGCCAAAAUGCGUUAGAGCUGAGCUUGAUUACUCUAAUGGCACACAAUGUUUUCACCAACCUCCGGAUUCCUGAAUAAUUAUCAUUAUCAUAUUUAUGUGUUUAGCCAAAAGCUUAAUUGGAAGAUUCCAGAAUGAAACAAUGCUACACAAGGAAAAGAACCUUCCAGUCAUUUUCUUGGGGAAAAAAAUUUAAAUCAAAAUACCACAAGUAUAUCACAAAAUUAAACCAUCGAAUCAAGUGGAAGGGCUCAUUCCCAGACUACCCCUCUGCUGCGGUGGUCUUCCAGAGGCAAGUAUGUUUAACUCUUUCAGCUGUUUCUGCUGGUGGUUAUCAUUGUCUCUAAAAAUAUGUUUAUAUCAUCAGUUCUUGAUGCAUCUGUUUUAGACAUUGUCUAUUAAUUACAACUCAGAUAAAUGAAGAUUUAUCUCACGGGACAAGUAUGUAGAGAUAUUGGGGAGUUCUUUUCCAUUUCAUAGCUACCUUUAUUUGCUCCUUGCAGAGGUCUAGGCUGUAUGCAUAAUAAGGUAGGCCUUCCAUAUAUGGGUGGGGCCUGGCUUUACUAUGCAUGUGCUGACAGUUACGUACAUAACAUGAAGAUUCCCUCUGCCUCCUGGUCUUGUUUUGUUGGUUGACCUUAGUAGGAGACUUUAAUGGUGGAGACUUUUUCAAAGUCUGGUGACUAGUGGGAGCACAUAUGAGAAUAAUAUUUUUACCGCUUUUGAUGGGUGGCAAGUCCUUGCUUCCCCAAUGUUGUAGAAUAACACCAGAGAAGCACACCGAGGCAAGGUCAGAGUGGAAAAUUAUAAGUUUAUUAAAGGAUAGUAGAAAAGACUUCUCCCGGAGGAAGAAGGGGACCCAAGAGAUGGAAUCUGUUGAAGGGCGAAUGUGUUCCCCUUUUUAUAGUUUUUGGUGAUGGAAUGUAGGUGGGGAAAGCCCGAGGGGUGGGACACAGGUGGGCCAAAGAAGUAAUCUGGGCAGGAAGGACUUCUGAGGCAGCAUCUUCAAGUUUGCUUGAAUGUUCAUUAACGUUUCUUUGGGAUGGGCUAUCUUCAAAUCUGCUGGGACUGUUCAUUAACACUUCUUUGGGAUGGGCUAUCUUUAAAUCUGCUGGGGGCUGUUUCCUGGACUUCAUUAACAUUUCAAGAGUUGCUCAACUUUUCCAGGGAUUCAUUCUCACAGCCUCCAUUUUAGAUCUCACUUGAUAUUAGACCUGAUUUACCUAACUACACUGACUACCUAAUUUUAAAUCUGGCUUCAAUAUCAUAAACAAUUUGUUUAUAUUUAUGGUACUUCAGUUAGGACAUCACUUAGGAUGAUCAGGUGGGAAGUCACUGUAGACAUUUAACCAGUGAGUCUUUAAAUGACAGACUGUAGAGGUUUGUGGGUAUUCAGUUUUUUUUAGCUCGUAUCACAAAAUUUUUAUUUGCAGUUUCAAUUUUUUUUUAAGAGAAGAACCCCUACAAUUUUAAGGUGUGUAUGUCAGGCACCCAUGGCCACUAUAUGAGAAUGAUAGUGAGGAAAGUAGGAAGAUUCAGCUCCAUGUCUUAUUCCUGCCUUUUUUGUUUUGCUUUGUUUUUUUGGUACUAGGGAUUGAACCCAGGGGUGCUUAACCACUGAGCCACAUCCCCAGCCCUUUUUAUAUAUUCUUUAGAGACAGCAUCUUACCAAGUUGCUUAGGGCCUCGUUAAAUUGCUGAGGCUGGCUUUGAACUCACAAUCCUACUGCCUCAGCCUCCUGGGCAGCUGGGAUUACAGGCAUGCACCACCGUACUGUAAGGGUCCGGCGAACGUUGGAGGAAGAGACCACCAAGAGACCGACUCAUGCAACCGCAAAAGGGGGUUUAUUGAAGAAUCCAGCGCGCUGGGGCUCCGUGCUCACUCAACAAGGGAGAGUGGCCCAGAGCCCCGAGCAGGGGUUGAGCAGUGCUUAAGUACACUUUUUGGGGAGGGCGGGGACUUUAUAUACAUCACAGUCUCCUUUAACAAAUCACCAUACAAAUCAAACAACAAUUCUCAAACAUGAUUAGUACAUUCAUUGGCGGGAACAGGUCGGGCGGGAAGUGGGGGUACAUUCAAACUGAUUGGUUUGGGCCCUGAAUGCCUACAUGCCAAACUGCACAGGGUCCAGGUUAUUUAUCUACUGGACAGUCCCGGGAAUUGUUUUAACAACUACAGGAAUUUCAGGUUUUGGGUGUAGCAUAGGAACUUAACAAUACCUGGUCCUUUACAUUUUAACUCAGGCUUUGCAGCUUAGAAACUUUACAAUACCCAUUUUUUUUACACUUUAACUUCAAUUUCUUUUACUCUUACAGUACUUACUCCCGCCUUUGCUCUACUGGGAAUUUAUAAGAUAUGUAAUGUGGAGAUACAAGGGAUGGAGGGUUUCCUUCCUCCUUGGCUACAGUUCCCUUUUCCAUCUCCCCACCGAGUAAUUCCAGUUCUUGUCCUCCUGUGUCUAGAGUUAUCAGUUACUGCUACCUCUGUUACUGUGUGUGUAUGAAAGAAAUAUAUACAACAUAAAAUUUAUCAUCUUAACCCUUUUUCUUUAUUUUUGAAUUUUUUAUUUUGGUAGAUGGACACAAUACCUUUAUUUUAUUUAUUUUUAUGUGGUGCUGAGGACCGAAGCCAGUGCCUCACAUGUGCUAGGCAAGCGCUCUGCCACCAAGCCACAGCCCAGGCCCAUUUUAACCCUUUUUCAUUGUACAGUUCAGUGGCGUUAGAUACAUUUUCAUUAUGGUGCAGCCAUUGCUCAUCACCAUCUCCAGAACUUUCUUGUCUUACCCAAAUGAACUCUACCUACUAAACACUGACUUCCCAUUCUCCUUUCUCCCUGCAGCCCCUGGCGACCACCAUUCUACUCUCCAUGGGUUGGGCUCAUUUAGGAACAUCUUAUAAGUUGAAUCAUGCAAUAUUUGUCCCUUUGAAGCCAGAUUUAAAGUUAGGUAGUCAGUGUAGUUAGGUAAAUCGGGUCUAAUAUCGAGUAAGAUCUAAAAUGGAGGCCAUGCUGACAAUGAUUCCGGGAAAUGCAGGACAACUCAUGGAAUGUUAAUGAAGUCCCAGAAAGGCCCUAGGCCAAAGUCCACCCCAAAGAAAUGUUAAUAGAACCCAGGAAACAGCCCCCAACAGAUUUGGAGAUAGCCCAUCCCAAGAAGUGAUAAUGAAGUCCUUCCUGCCCAGAUUACUUGUUUGGCCCACCUGUGUCCCACCCCUCGGGUCUUCCAACCUACAUUCCAUCACCAAAACUAUAAAAGGGGGAGUCAACCGCAAUUCCACGGAUUCCACCUCUUGGGUCCCCUUCUUCCUCUGGGAGAAGUCUUUUCUGCUGUCUUUUAAUAAACUUCUAAUUUCUACUCUGACCUUGCCUCGACGUGCUUCUUUGGUGUUAUUCUUCAACAUUGGGGAAGCAAGGACUCGUCACCGGUCAACAGCAGUAACACCUUUGUGUCCACCCUCUACUUUAUAGCAUCAACACAUUUGUUGAAAUUUCUUAUCUUUUGAUGAUUUUCCAUCUCUUGUAGCUUUUCAUCUUUUACCUCCUUUACUAUUACAUUAGUAGGUUAUUGGGAGUAGAGAUCCAACUAUAGGGUGAAACUGCUAACUUUAAUCAGGAGUUCAUUCUUUUUGAGAAGAGAAGAUCCCAACAAAGGGACAAACAUUGUUUCUUUUCAUUUAAAUGAGGUCAAACGCACAGAGACAGAUGUGCAGUGGCUGCUAGGGAGUGGCUUAGAGUGGGUUGGAGUUUCAGUUUGGGAUGAUGAAUCUGGAGAUGGAUGGUGAUGAUGGGACAUGAAGUUCUAAUUCUGUGACUUCUCAGCCAGGUAUGAUGGUAUACUCCUGAAUGUAUAUUCUUGUGACAGGGAAAUCUGAUGCAGGAGAUUCACGAGCUCUAGGUCAGCCUGGGCAACUUAGGGAGACCCUGCCUCAAAAUAAAAAUUAAAAAGGAUUGGGGGUAUAGCACCCCUGGGUUUAAUUGCCAGUACCAAAAAGAAAAAAGAAGAAAUUAAUAAUAAUCCGGUGACUUGGCUUGCAAGAUGCAGGCCUCUAACCCCAUGCAGAGGAAUGUAGAAGGCCAACUCAUCUAUGAGGAAAUUUCAGUGGCAAGAGCACAUUAGGCCUGGAAAGGAUUCAUAUGGCUUACUCCUAUAUCUGUGGGCUUUAUAAAUUCUUCAAGGAACUAGGUCUGAGAUUAGGAUGAGACAAAGUAAGCACCUAGGGCACAACAUUUAAGGAGGUACUCACUUUUUUUCUUUUCUUUUUCGACAUGGGAUCAAACCCAGGGCUUCUCACAUGUGAGGCAAGCGCUUUACCACUGAGCUGUAUCCCAGCCUGGGAGGUGUGCACUCUUAAGGUACAAAUCCCACAGAGAGAGAGGACUACUCCAACACACUGCCACCUCUGCAGGGAAGUCCAGAUGAGAUUUGUGUAUUAGUUAGGGUUCUCCAGGGAAUCAGAACCCAUAGGAUAUAUAUAGAUUAUAAGAAGAGAUUUCUUACAGAAAUUGGCUCAUGUGAUUAUGGAGGCCGAGAAGUCCCACCAUCUGCUGUCUGCAAGCUGGAGAUCCCGUGAAGCCUGGAUGGUAAUUUAGCCCGAGGCUGAAAUCUUGAGAACCGGGAAGUACACAAAUGGAUGGUGGGUGAGGCAUAGCCUGAGAACCUGGAGCUCUGCUGUCUUAGGGUAGGAAAGAUGGACGUCCUACUCUCAGGGACAGGGGGGAGAGAGAGAGGUGGGAAUCCGCCCUUCCUUGUUGUGUUAGCUUUCCUGGUACCUGAGAUAGUAGACUUAGAAAAGGUUUAUUUUCAAAGUUUUAAAGGUUUCAGUCCAUGAACAAUUGGCUCCAUUGCUUAGGGUCUGUGUGACCCAAAACCAAUCACUUCAUGUCAGGAAGCAAAAAAGAGAAAGAGGAAGGGGCCAGGGACACAUAGUCCCCUUCAAGGACAUGACCUAAAGGUCUCCCAGGAGGCCCACCUACUAAAGGCUCCACCACCUCCUAAUAAUGCCUCCCUGGGGAACAAGCUUUCUUUUUCUUUUUACCACUUAGACCUUGGGAGAUGCUAAGGUCCCAACUAGAGCUGUUGCCUCUUUUUUCUACUCUGGGCUUCUGUGGUUAGAUAAUGCUUGCUUAUACUGGUGAAGGUGCUAGUUUUAACUUAGUCUACUGAUUCAAAUGCUAAUCUCUUCCAGAAAUCUCUCACAGACACAUCCAGAAAUAAUGCUUUAUCAGCCUCCUGGGCACCCCCGAUCUCAGUCAAGUCCAUUGAGUUCACUAUCCCAAUCUGUCAAAGGAAAGCCGAGUCAUGACAGCGUUAGGAUCCUGAUCUAAAGAUGACUUUGCAUGUUGUGAGAUAGUAACUAGCACAUGAAUGUCACUGUCAGCAAACUUCUCUUAUAAGCAUUUUGCCAUUUCACACCACCUAUGUUUAGAGUUGAGAAUCAGUUUCACAUGUUAUUCCCUUUUUGGUGGAGAAACUAAGGACAGGGAAGGUGAUAGUCUUGACCUGAGGUAGUCAGUGAUUGAGCCAAGACCUGUACCCAAGUUUUUAAGUUCAAACUGCACUACUCCCCACCUGGACUGGGGAUCAUAUCCAGGACUUUGUGCAUGCUAGGCACAUGCUCUAUUAUUGAGCUACAUCCCCAGCUCCCAAUUUCACUUCUUUUUAUGAAAGCAGCCAUUUAGAAGAGAAACUAUUGUACUCAGUAACUGACUCAGUUCUACCUCCUUUUGCACAAAAUUUCUGUUUUGCCCAGUCUUAUAUCUUGACAAUUUUUUUUUGUGGUCCUGGGAAUUAAACCAGGGGUGCUUUGUCACUGAGCUACACAUCUUGCCCUCUUUUUAAAUUUUAUUUUGAGCCAGGUUCAGGGCCCCAUGCCUGUAAUCCUCUCCCCCUCCCUCUCCCCCUUCCUCUCCCCCUCUUCUCUUCUGCGACUGACCACUACGGUCCUGCUAAUAAAAUCUCGGACAGGUAAAUGGUUGUUUUGGCUUGUUGAGUUUACGGAGCUUUUCCAUUGUCCUUUACAAUAGUAAUUAUGAGAGUUGUAUAGCUAUAAUUCUUAAAAUUAUAAGAUUCCUUAUCAUAAGUAUUGUAUUACUGGCAGUGAUAUUAAAUAAUAAUAAUUACUUUAAAAAUAUGAUCAGUUAGAGAUACAUUGCUGGGAGCCAUUAGCCAAGUAGGUAUGACAAUUUCCUUGCCAGCAGCGUACCCCAUGUUGCUGACAUGUUGCAGUGACAUUGAAUGUAAGUGACCUUGCUCAAGGAUCAAGGCAGAUUAGGGUGUUCCCGGUUUUAAGAUAAUCUUGUUUAGGGCGUUCCCAGUUUAGGUUCCAGGUUUAAGGUUUAAGAUUAUUCCUGCUGGGAAUAGGGCGUAUCCUGCUGCCUGAGUUCCCCUUGAGUUCUCACGGGAUUCAGACAGUAUAUUUUGGAGAUAGAAGCCCAGUGGAGGUGAAUUUGGGAGAGAAGGAGGAUUUGGGAAGAGAACGUGGAUUUCCCCAGAACGUGAUUGUAGACGGCUGGUGUGAGUUCGGGAAUAAAGAGUUGCUGUUUGAACCUACAAGCUGUGUGGUGGCUCGUGAUUGUGUGCCCAGCCAGACUGCGGCAUUUGUGCCCAGCCAGACUGCGGCAAUACAUCAUGGGAUAGCAUUUAAAAUUUUUUUUUUUUUAGUUGUAGAAGGACACAAUAUCUUUAUUUAUUUAUUUUUAUGUGGUGCUGAGGAUUGAACCAGUGCCUCAUGCAUGCAAAGCAAGUGCUCUACCACUGAGCUACAACCCCAACCCUAUGGGAUAGCAUUUUUAAAAAGUAGCUUAUCUUUCUGGGUGCAUUCACUGCUUACAAAGUCUGGUUAUUACUACAUUGAUAUUAUAAGUUAACUUGAAUCUGAAUUUGUACUUAUGUUGGCAGGAUGACAACUCCCUACAAUAUCCUGUAGUUUUAGAGUAUUCUGGGUAAGGAGAACAUAUAUUAAGGCCCUGUGCUGUUCAGAUGGCAGAGGCCGUGCCAGUCUGUGGUGGUGGGGUGAUAAUGGUGGUAGGUGUGUUAAAUGAGAAAGAGAGACAGAGAAAGAGAGGGGUGGGGGGGUGGGAGAGGGAGAUAAAACACCUCUAAAGGCCUUAAUUUUGCCCUCGGGGAAUUUGCUGUUCAAAUAUCAACAGUUUAAAGAAAUAAAUAAAGAAAAUAUAUUGUAUAGAGGCCACUUUGAGGUUGUCACUGAGCACUAAGUCUGGGGCCUGGGGACACUAAGAGUGGCUGCAGGCAAAGGGAGGCUGGGAGGCAUUGACACAGAUUGCUUCUAUGCUCCCAGGGGCAAUGCAGAGAUAGGAGCCUGCUUGUAAAUUCUCUUCCAGGUGAGCACCUGUAGCUUGCCUGAGGCUGUUCUGGGAAGUGUUUGUGCUUUGACACAGGCUGCCCCCUGCAUUAGGAAGCGGGGCAAAGUCCAAAUGAAGAACAUAGAUCAUAUGUCUAAAUGUUUGAAAAUUCUAAUUCAAGAAAUAAUUUGUUAACUAAAACAUAUUAUAUCCUUUUACUUUCUUCUUCUUCUUUUUUUUUAUACCAGAAAUCGAACCCAGGGGUUUGAGCAACGCCUGAGCAAUAUCCCUAAUCCUUUAACCCUUUUUAUUUUUUCUUUUGAGACAGGGUCUCACCAAUUUGCUUAGGGCCUUGCUAAGUUGACGAGACUGGCUUUGAACUUGCGGAUUCUCCUGCCUCAGCCUCCUGAAUCUCUGGGAUUAUGGAUGUGCGCCACCACGUCCAGCUAUAUCCUUUUUCUUUGAAUAAACUAUACCUCCAAAGUGUCCUUGAUAGCCAAGUUAAAAUAUAGAAAUCUCAGAUACUUUGUAUCUCAGAUACAGCAAAACAUGGUGAAGUUGGGGUGCAGGGUAGAGGAGAUGGGCAGGAGGGAGCCAGUCCCAAUCUAUGGCCUGAUCUACCUUGUCUUCCCACCCCCAGCUCUUUCUCACACUGCCUGAACCUCAUCUGCAUACUCACAGACACCUCAGUUUGUGUGUCUAUAUCUGGCCUCAAAGCAGCCACCUCUUUGUUGUAUUCAAGCCUAAUGAAAAUAUGGCAUGUGUCAGGAUAAAGGACAUGGGAAAGAGGCCCACACAGGUCUUCAUACUCUGGAGAUGGGUUUGAGACUAUUUGGGCAUGGAAUUGUUUGUUUCUUUUUUUCUUGAUAGCGGGGACACAGAUUAGAAUAGCAGUCAGAAAACCAUGCUCAUGGGCCAAAUCUGGGCUCUCCACCUGCUUCUGUAAAUAAAAUUUUAUUGUAAUGUAACUGUCUUAGUCCAUUUUCUGUUGCUAUAAUUGAAUAUCACAGACUGGGUAAUUUAUAAAGAAUAGAGGUUUAUGUAGCUAUAGUUCUGGAGGCUGGAAAGUUUAAGAGCAUGACUUGGCAUCUGACUCACAUCUGGUAAGGGCCUUCCUGCUGGGUCAUGGCAUGGCAGAGAACAUCACACAAGAGCCAAAGGCAUCCGUAAGACAGAGACAAACUGGAUUUUUAUGAUAGAUCUAUUCUUGGGAUAACCCAUUAACCCAAUAAUCUAUGAAUGGACUAAGUCAUUCAUGAAUGUGUUUUUAGGAAAUACACAAUAAAGUGUUAAGGGUAAAAUGAUAUGACAGCCACAAUUUAUUUUCAUGCAAUGAAAUAUGUCCUCAAACCAGUAGUGCUCAAUAAUGUUGCAAUCGUUGCUGAAGUGUAUUAGUAUGUAGUUAGGCCUAUCAUGGUUGGGUCUAUACUGAAUGUGUACAGACAUUUAUUUUUUUUCUUAUAAGUAUUUCCUAAACAAUGUAGUAUAAGAACUACUCACAUGGCAUUUAUGCUAUAAAUGAUUUAAGGUAUAUGGGAAGAUGUAUGUAGUUUAUAUACAAAUACUAUACCGUUUUAUAUAAGGAACUUGAGCAUCCUCAAGUUUUGGUACAUGCAGAGGGUCCUUUAACCAGUCCUUCUGUGAUACAGAAGGAUGACUAUAAUAAUAUUAAAAAUGAAA